RNAcentral lists this ribosomal RNA (253 nucleotides) under uncultured bacterium. RNAcentral's name for it is "partial 16S ribosomal RNA". It matches the Rfam family "Bacterial small subunit ribosomal RNA", at positions 524 to 776 of the family's 1533-position model. The record is from RNAcentral.
UACGUAGGUGGCAAGCGUUAUCCGGAUUUAUUGGGUGUAAAGGGCGUGUAGGCGGGAAUGCAAGUCAGAUGUGAAAACUAUGGGCUCAACCCCUAGCCUGCAUUUGAAACUGUAUUUCUUGAGUGCUGGAGAGGCAAUCGGAAUUCCGUGUGUAGCGGUGAAAUGCGUAGAUAUACGGAGGAACACCAGUGGCGAAGGCGGAUUGCUGGACAGUAACUGACGCUGAGGCGCGAAAGCGUGGGGAGCAAACAGG